This 55-nucleotide non-coding RNA is filed under the name unclassified sequences. RNAcentral describes it as "chromate-resist RNA". It matches the Rfam family "chrB-b RNA". The record is from RNAcentral.
UCGGGAUAUCGCAGGCUCCCGACGUCGCAAAGACGGUUCCCCGUCCAAGUCCUGC